Molecule: long non-coding RNA, 783 nt
Filed under: Mytilus galloprovincialis (Mediterranean mussel)
Lineage: Eukaryota; Metazoa; Mollusca; Bivalvia; Mytilida; Mytilidae
Source: RNAcentral
CCCCAAUUAUUCAAUUUUGAUGAAAUCAAACAAAAGUUUAAUUUUUGGACCCUUUGGGCCCCUUAUUAUGUUGGGACCAAAACUCCCAAAAUCAAACCCAACCUUUCUUUUAUGGUCAUAAACCUUGUGUUUAAAUUUCAUAGAUUUCUAUUUACUUAUACUAACGUUAUGGUGCGAAAACCAAGAAAAAUGCUUAUUUGGGUCCCUUUUUGGCCCCUAAUUCCUAAACUGUUGGGACCUAAACUCCCAAAAUCAAUACCAACCUUCCUUUUGUAGUCAUUAACAUUGUGUUUAAAUUUCAUUGAUUUCUAUUUACUUAAACUAAUGUUAUUGUGCGAAAACCAAGAAUAAUGCUUAUUUGGGCCCUUUUUUGGUCCCUAAUUCCUAAACUGUUGAGACCAAAACUCCCAAAAUCAAUCCCAACCGUUCUUUUGUGGUCAUAAACCUUGUGUCAAAAUUUCAUAGAUUUCUAUUAACUUAAACUAAAGUUAUAGUGCGAAAACCAAGAAAAUGCUUAUUUGGGCCUUUUUUGGCCCCUAAUUCCUAAAAUGUUGGGACCAAAACUCCCAAAAUCAAUACCAACCUUCCUUUUGUGGUCAUAAACCUUGUGUUAAAAUUUCAUAGAUUUCCAUUCACUUUUACUAAAGUUAGAGUGCGAAAACUAAAAGUAUUCGGACGCCGGACGACGACGACGACGACGACGACGACGACGACGCCGACGCCAACGUGAUAGCAAUAUACGACGAAAAUUUUUUCAAAAUUUGCGGUCGUAUAAAAAUGAUU